RNA transcript from Anguilla rostrata (American eel), 3537 nucleotides. RefSeq lists it as uncharacterized. The record is from RefSeq and is a predicted model, not a curated record. Lineage: Eukaryota; Metazoa; Chordata; Actinopteri; Anguilliformes; Anguillidae. The transcript has 4 exons.
UCUGGAGCUUGUCUCUUCUGCGAUGGGCUCUAACAUGGAGGAGGGCUGCUGCAAAAAAUAUGAAACACAGAAGAUCCCACUAGCAAUGGUGGUCUCCUGGCAUGAAACCAGCAGCAGCUGUGCCAAAGCAGCCUAUGUGUUUGUUACCAAACGCGGAAGGCGCAUAUGUGUGGAUCCUACUGAUGCUUGGGUGAGGAGCCACGCAGCUCAGGUGGACAGCAGGUCAGCCUCCACUGUAGUGCCAGGAACCAGCGAGAUGAACACUAAAGCCUAAGGCCAGCCCUAACACCCCAGCGGGCUGUCAAUCUGUACGAAGACUUCCUGUUGGACACUGCGAUGGGACACACAAAAACAUAAGAGAGGAAUGUAUCUAAUUACAUCUGAUAUUCCUGGAUUUAAUUCAUGCAAUAUUGUCUGUUCUUUUCCUGUUCAUAAUGCAUUGUUUCUUUUCCUACAUUCAUUUUUCUGUUUUAUAAUUUGUACAUAAUUUUUUUUCCAGGAAACUUAUUAAAUGCUUUUGUAACAAACUUUGUUUCUUGUUUAAAGUUUUUUGAUUAUUCCUGCUGAAAUUCACAAAGCAGGAAAAAAAUCCUUACAGUACAGCAACUUUACUAAACAUUGCAACAUGUGCAUGUUUGUUGCACAUCACAAACUAAGAUCUAAGAUAAAGUGUACUUACAGCAAACAUUGCCAGUUCAAUGUUCAGCUCAAAUUGCUGAUUUGUUUUAGAUUGUGUUCAAACAAGGAUGUGACUUAUGCCUGGAGAAAAGUCACAAGUCACGUGAAUUUUAGCAAUAAAAUUUAACACUUUUUGGUCAUUUGCUAUAAAAGGUGACUGCUGCACCAUCCAGUAACAACUUUGUAUCAGUUUAAUAUCAUCAUUUUUAAAUAUUACAAUAAAACUAAAUGCCAGUAUUCAUAUGAUUUGUAUGAUCAGGCCAGCUUCAUAUCAUUUUGAAUUUUUCAACAGUAAUUAAGUGUUCAAAAUAUCAAAGAGUGCUCAUACUUAAACCUCUCACAUCAGAAUAACUGUUAUCAACAGUAAAAAUGAAAAACUGAUUCAUGGUGUUACACAUUCAGCUUUCCUUGACAAUUGCAGUCAUUUGUCUUUAGUUUUUAAUGACAGUGGCCACAUGUUCACAUUUUCUGCAACCACAAGAGGACAUGGAUAGUUUUUGUAUUUAAAGAGACCAGUGUACAGUUAAUAUUCUUUUGUUAAGCAUUGAGUUGCAAGGUAAAAAGCUAAAAUAUGUUGCUUUUUAUUGACUCACAGAGAAAAUGCAGCCAGUGAAAAAGAGAUUAAAUGAAAAUAAAAAUGAGUGGAGCCUUGCUGGGCAGAAGCAUAAAUGAAAACAUUUAUAUAUCUGUAGUUUUCAAGUUAUAUUGUAACCAUCUAGAAGCAGCAUACAGCAUGAUGGAAACAGGAACAGUUAGAUGUUGAAUAAAGAACACACUUAUCCAAAAACCAAAAUAAAUUGCAUGAAUGCAAUAAAAACAGAUGUGUGCGGGACAAAAAAUUAUUUCAUGGUCAGUACAGGUUCUAGCUACAUCAACUUGGGCCUACUCGUUAGUGCACUAUGGAGUCUCAGCAUAGUUCUAAGUGCAUAAAAUAAGCAUAGAGGGCGUUCCUUGCCAUGUGCCGCUCGAUUUGGCAAAAUCAGAUUGGCAAUAAAAAUCAUAAAACAUUAACAAAGAUUUUCUAUAAAUUUUCAAAUGCAGCGUUAACCCCAAUCCCGUACAUCGCACAAACUGAUGGCCCAAUAAAACCCUAGUUUUUAGAUUUAACAGCUAAAGCAUACAAACUAGAAUUACAACGAAGUAAACUCCUUAUAUUGUGCAAAUGCACAUUUGGCAUUACUAAAAUGGAAGGAUUGGCUUUUCGCAUGCAAAUCCAAAAAAUAAAAGGUUGAUUUCUGGACAAUUAAAAUUAGGCAGACCUUAAUUAAUCAGGGCCUUAAUCAUUAUCUUAACCCUUGUGUAAUCUUCAUAUCAUGCAAAUCCCUUGUUCACAGGGUAAAAAAUGACCCACCCUCACUGGGCCUCUAUGAUAAAGCCUCUCCCAUUAAUUUUAAACCCCAAAUCUAUUUUGCAUGUCAAAACAACCUGUUGCACAAAUAGGUGAAUAACUGUGUUUUCCGACUAUACAGACCAGAGAGACUAUUGACACCACUGGUUUUUCCUACAAACACACAUCAUUAUUUAUUUAUUUAUUAAUUUUUAUUUGCUGAAAGGGAUGUGUGGUGCUUAAUGCUGAUUAAGAAUCUCUAUAUUUGUAUGUGUGAAGUUGCAAGCAGUUGUGAACCCUUUGGAAUUUUCUGGAUUUCUGCAUUAAUUACUCAUUAAAUGUGGUCUGAUCUUCAUUUAAGUCACAAUAAUAGACAAACACAUUCUGCUUAAACUAAUAUCACAGUUUUCGCACUGUGGGUGUCCUCCCAUGAAUACCAUCAUUGUUUAGUGUUUUUCUUAUAGAGGAUACAUGAACAGAGACUUUAGCAAGUUCAAGAGAUUUCUGGGCGAGUACCCUAUUUCUUUUUGGCUUCCCUUAGGACUGCAUGAUGUGCUGUUGUGAUCUUUGCCCCCUCCUGGAGAGAGUAGCAAAAGUACAGAAUUUCCUCCAUUUGUAGGCAACUUGGCUUAUUGCGGAUUUAUGAACACCCUGGCCUUUAGAAAUACGUUUGUGGCCCUUUCCAGUGUUAUGCAUCUCUAAAGUUAUUCUUCUAAGGUCCUCUGAAAAUUGUUUUGAUCAACAAGUUUAUACAUACACUACAUUUCCAAACGUAUGUGGACAGCAGGCUUGGCAAUCAAAAUUAUUUGUAGUAAAGUUCUCACAGACAUGUCAAAUGGAUUCAUUUAUUCAUUCAUUUCUUAUUCAGUACAAUAGAAAUAUGUCAGCUUCAGAUCCAACAGUAGUCCAGUAGACCCAGUGGUCUAUUAACUGAAAUCACUUGUGCUCUGUAUGAGCACCUCAGAUGCUUGAAGAAGAAGAUAGAAUAAAAUGCCAUAGUAAGGCCAAAUCUUAGGAAAGGAAACACAGGAACAACAUGAUGCGUUUUCUUUGACAUCUGACACCCCUUACUGCAGAAGCUGUAUUCUCUGUAACAGAACAGAAGCGCUACUUAGAACCCAAAAAAAGAGGAAGAAGAGAAAUUAAAGAUGUUCUCCUGGUAAAGCUGGUUCGUAUGAAGAAAGGGGGCUCCAGGGGAGUUCUGAGGAGGAAUUCCCCAUCCCUGAUUUCCAUCUCUUUAUACAGUAUAUAUAACGAGAGAUUCUGUCAUCUCACCCAGCACAGCUCCUCUCUCUGAUCCAGAGUCCAGCAUCUCCUCUCUCUCUGCUUGCAGUCUCCAGUCAAAAUGAACACAGCGAUGAAACUGAGCGCUCUGCUGAUCCUCGUGCUGCUCGGCUCUCUGGAGCUUGUCUCUUCUGGUAAGGGCUCUAGCGCAGGGGCGGACUGCUGCACAAACUAUGAAACAAAGAAUAUCCCACUAGCAAUGGUGGUCUCCUGGCAUAAAACCAGCAGCAGCUGUGGCAAAGCAGCCU